This 459-nucleotide ribosomal RNA is filed under the name uncultured bacterium. RNAcentral's name for it is "partial 16S ribosomal RNA". It matches the Rfam family "Bacterial small subunit ribosomal RNA", at positions 338 to 795 of the family's 1533-position model. The record is from RNAcentral.
CCUACGGGAGGCAGCAGUGAGGAAUAUUGGUCCAUGGGAGAGAUCCUGAACCAGCCAAGCCGCGUGAGGGAAGACGGCCCUAUGGGUUGUAAACCUCUUUUGUCGGAGAACAAAACCCGGGACGAGUCCCGGACUGCGUGUAUCCGAAGAAAAAGCAUCGGCUAACUCCGUGCCAGCAGCCGCGGUAAUACGGAGGAUGCGAGCGGUAUCCGGAUGUAUUAGGUUUAAAGGGUGCGGAGGCGGUCUGUUAAGUCCGCGGUAAAAUUGCGGGGCCCAACCCCGUCGAGCCGUUGAACCCGGCAGAAUUGAGUUGGCGAGAAGUACGCGGAAGGCGCGGUGUAGCGGUGAAAUGCAUGGAUAUCGCGCAGAACUCCGAUUGCGAAGGCAGCGUACCGGCGCCAGACUGACGCUGAGGCACGAAAGCGUGGGGAUCGAACAGGAUUAGAUACCCCGGUAGUC